This is a non-coding RNA of Vicia faba (fava bean), 252 nucleotides long. The record is from the annotation of a GenBank genome assembly. NCBI's taxonomy places the organism in Eukaryota, Viridiplantae, Streptophyta, Magnoliopsida, Fabales, Fabaceae.
AUGAAUUUGUACAGGUACCCAAAUGAAUCCCAAAACGGUUUCCGUCGAUAUCACAAGUUUACUCAUUGGACUGUACAUCCUAGAGUAAAAGAGGAAGUGGAAAAAACUUGUUUCAAAUAUUUUAUGAGAUUCUCCGAGAGUAAAGUUAACAUGUCUAACAAAAUGAUCGCCGCUUUACUUCGCUUUUAUGAAAACGUCGAAGAACACUUUGUGUUUAGGAUACUAAAAUUGAUCUUGGUCUUGAAGAUGUAA